UGGGCAGCUUGACUGCUUAGUAGCGUAGCUAACGCGUGAAAUCGACCGCCUGGGGAGUACGGUCGCAAGAUUAAAACUCAAAGGAAUUGACGGGGACCCGCACAAGCGGUGGAUGAUGUGGAUUAAUUCGAUGCAACGCGAAGAACCUUACCUGGUCUUGACAUGUACGGAACCUUCCAGAGACGGAAGGGUGCCUUCGGGAGCCGUAACACAGGUGCUGCAUGGCUGUCGUCAGCUCGUGUCGUGAGAUGUUGGGUUAAGUCCCGCAACGAGCGCAACCCUUGUCAUUAGUUGCCAUCAUUCAGUUGGGCACUCUAAUGAGACUGCCGGUGACAAACCGGAGGAAGGUGGGGAUGACGUCAAGUCCUCAUGGCCCUUAUGACCAGGGCUUCACACGUCAUACAAUGGUCGGUACAAAGGGUAGCCAAGCCGCGAGGCGGAGCCAAUCUCAUAAAACCGAUNGUAGUCCGGAUUGCACUCUGCAACUNGAGUGCAUGAAGU
Molecule: ribosomal RNA, 501 nt
Filed under: uncultured bacterium
Lineage: Bacteria
Description: bacterial SSU rRNA
Rfam family: Bacterial small subunit ribosomal RNA
Source: RNAcentral